This 466-nucleotide ribosomal RNA is filed under the name uncultured bacterium. RNAcentral describes it as "partial 16S ribosomal RNA". It matches the Rfam family "Bacterial small subunit ribosomal RNA", at positions 30 to 507 of the family's 1533-position model. The record is from RNAcentral.
CGAACGCUGGCGGCGUGCUUAACACAUGCAAGUCGAACGGAAAGGCCCUGCCUUUGUGGGGUGCUCGAGUGGCGAACGGGUGAGUAACACGUGAGUAACCUGCCCUUGACUUUGGGAUAACUUCAGGAAACUGGGGCUAAUACCGGAUAGGAGCUCCUGCUGCAUGGUGGGGGUUGGAAAGUUUCGGCGGUUGGGGAUGGACUCGCGGCUUAUCAGCUUGUUGGUGGGGUAGUGGCUUACCAAGGCUUUGACGGGUAGCCGGCCUGAGAGGGUGACCGGCCACAUUGGGACUGAGAUACGGCCCAGACUCCUACGGGAGGCAGCAGUGGGGAAUAUUGCACAAUGGGCGGAAGCCUGAUGCAGCAACGCCGCGUGCGGGAUGACGGCCUUCGGGUUGUAAACCGCUUUCGCCUGUGACGAAGCGUGAGUGACGGUAAUGGGUAAAGAAGCACCGGCUAACUACGUG